Molecule: ribosomal RNA, 560 nt
Filed under: Streptosporangium sp. 334D02
Lineage: Bacteria; Bacillati; Actinomycetota; Actinomycetes; Streptosporangiales; Streptosporangiaceae
Description: bacterial SSU rRNA
Rfam family: Bacterial small subunit ribosomal RNA
Source: RNAcentral
GAGCGGCGAACGGGUGAGUAACACGUGAGUAACCUGCCCUCAACUUCGGGAUAAGCCUGGGAAACCGGGUCUAAUACCGGGUAGGACCUGACNNGGCAUCGNGNUNGGUGGAAAGAUUUUUUGGUUGGGGAUGGGCUCGCGGCCUAUCAGCUUGUUGGUGGGGUAGUGGCCUACCAAGGCGACGACGGGUAGCCGGCCUGAGAGGGCGACCGGCCACACUGGGACUGAGACACGGCCCAGACUCCUACGGGAGGCAGCAGUGGGGAAUAUUGCGCAAUGGGCGGAAGCCUGACGCAGCGACGCCGCGUGGGGGAUGACGGCCUUCGGGUUGUAAACCUCUUUCAGCAGGGACGAAGUUGACGUGUACCUGUAGAAGAAGCGCCGGCUAACUACGUGCCAGCAGCCGCGGUAAUACGUAGGGCGCAAGCGUUGUCCGGAAUUAUUGGGCGUAAAGAGCUCGUAGGUGGCUUGUCGCGUCUGCCGUGAAAGCCCAUGGCUUAACUGUGGGUCUGCGGUGGAUACGGGCUGGCUAGAGGUAGGUAGGGNCAAGCGGAAUUCCU